UUCCGGUUGAUCCUGCCGGAGGCUACUGCUAUUGGAGUCCGAUUAAGCCAUGCUAGUCUUCGAGGCUUUGCCUCGAGGCGGAUAGCUGAGUAACACGUGGUCAAUCUACCCUACGGAGAGAGAUAACCUCGGGAAACUGAGGAUAAUAUCUCAUAGGUCUGGAUACCAGAAAAGGAUCCAGAUUGAAAUGCAUUAUGCGCCGUAGGAUGAGACUGCGGCUGAUUAGGUCGUUGGUGAGGUAACGGCUCACCAAGCCGAUAAUCAGUAGCGGGCGUGAGAGCGCGAGCCGUCAGACGGGUUCUGAGACAAGAACCCGGGUCCUACGGGACGCAGCAGGCGCGAAACCUUCACAAUGCGCGAAAGCGUGAUGGGGGAACUCCAAGUGCUCGUUUCGAAAAAAGAAGCGAGCUUUUCUUGAGUGUAAGGAGCUCAAGAUAACAAGGGGUGGGCAAGACGGCUGCCAGCCGCCGCGGUAAUAGCCGCACCCCAAGUGGUGGCCA
RNAcentral lists this ribosomal RNA (500 nucleotides) under uncultured Halobacteriales archaeon. RNAcentral describes it as "bacterial SSU rRNA". It matches the Rfam family "Archaeal small subunit ribosomal RNA", at positions 1 to 497 of the family's 1478-position model. Lineage: Archaea; Methanobacteriati; Methanobacteriota; Halobacteria; Halobacteriales. The record is from RNAcentral.